UUUAUUAGAAGAGACGCAUUUAUUAGAUAAAAAGCCAAUGCAUGCUUUUACAGUAUGAAAAUUGGUGAUUUAUAAUAACUUAGCAAAUCGCAAAGUGAAAACAGGCGAUAAAUCAUUCAAGUUUCUGACCUAUCAGCUUUCGACGGUAUGGUAUUGGCUUACCGUGGCAGUGACGGUUAACGGGGGAUUAGGGUUCGAUUCCGGAGAGGGAGCCUGAGAAACGGCUACCACAUCUAAGGAAGGCAGCAGGCGCGCAAAUUACCCAAUUCUAACAGUUUGAGAGAGGUAGUAACAAGAAAUAACAAUACAAGGCAGUUAAAAUGCUUUGUAAUUGGAAUGAUAGAAAUUUAAACCCUUUUUAAAGUAUCAAUUGGAGGGCAAGUCUGGUGCCAGCAGCCGCGGUAAUUCCAGCUCCAAUAGCGUAUAUUAAAAUUGUUGCAGUUAAAAAGCUCGUAGUUGAAGUUCUGCUAAAAGUAACCGGUCUGCUUUUAAUAAAGGUGGUAUCUUGGUGUGUAUUUAGCAAUGAUGUCCUUUGAAGUGUUUUUUACUUUAUUGUAAUAAAGCAUAUUCAGGACUUUUACUUUGAGAAAAUUAGAGUGUUUCUAGCAGGCUAACGCUUUGAAUA
This 625-nucleotide ribosomal RNA is filed under the name Hepatozoon canis. RNAcentral's name for it is "bacterial SSU rRNA". It matches the Rfam family "Eukaryotic small subunit ribosomal RNA", at positions 188 to 801 of the family's 1831-position model. The record is from RNAcentral. Lineage: Eukaryota; Apicomplexa; Hepatozoidae.